GAGCCAAGAGGGACGUGGCGCUCUGCGGCGCGGACUAGGAAGCCGCGCCCCUUCCUUCUCGGGCUUUCAUGGAGAAUCCUGUGGAGCAGGAUUUGGGUGGGUGAGGUGCUUACCCGCGACCGGGACAAAAAAACAGGUGUCUCCUCGCCCUCGGCCGCCGGUGCGCGCUGGCAGCGCCCAUACUGGUCAGGCGGUCAGGCGAUUUUCGCCCGCAGGCCUCCUUUGGGUCUAAUACCCCGGGCCUCCUCCUUGGCGGGAAUCUUACCUGUAUUUGUAAGCUCACCUACCCCGGUUUUGUUAUGCCGUGGGCCACUGUGGCUUGAUUGCUUUUUGUUUCACCUUCUCUCACACCCGUCUGCGGUAUCUUUCUUUUCUCCGCACCCUCCUUCUUAUAGAACUAAGACAUCUGCUCCACACCCAUCAUUUUAAAGAUGGGGGAACUGAUCCUCAAAGAUACUCGUGGCUCGAGGAUUAGAGAAACUUUUGGAGCCUCAAGGCUGGUUUCGACUGAGUCUGCUAAGGUCCCACAGGAUAUAACCUGGCCAAGUUCCUCAUUGCAUUUAGAAUGGAAGAGAGGGAGGCAGUAAUACUUAUAAGAAACA
Molecule: long non-coding RNA, 602 nt
Organism: Bos taurus (domestic cattle)
Lineage: Eukaryota; Metazoa; Chordata; Mammalia; Artiodactyla; Bovidae
Source: Ensembl